UUCCCUUCGUGGGAACCUCCUGCAGACACCCAAAGAAGGGGGAGAGGGAGCGAGAGCAGCAGCUCCGACAGCCGUACUGCGGCACGGCCGCUCUCCUACGGGCCCGGCUCACUCGGGGGGUGCAUUUUGAGCAGAGGCUGCAUGAGCCUGGUGAGAAAGAUGUGGUCUGAGAGUGUUGGAGGGGCUACACAUCCCCCUGAGCCGUUUUAAUAUGUUGAUGUUUGAUGCUGUUAGGAAACUGAUAAUUCUUAGCAUGUGGAUGAUCUUUCCUAAGCAGCCUGAACGGCCGCGUCUCCGUGCGCGGGCACCCUGGGAGGCACAGGCUGCGUGCUUACCUUCCCUCCUCUCGGAGCUUCAAGCCUGGGAAAACUCCUGUUCAAACACAUGGGGAUGGAAAACGAGGUAG
This 406-nucleotide long non-coding RNA is filed under the name Anas platyrhynchos platyrhynchos (common mallard). RNAcentral describes it as "lncRNA (ENSAPLG00000019766.1)". Lineage: Eukaryota; Metazoa; Chordata; Aves; Anseriformes; Anatidae. The record is from RNAcentral.